AGUGAACGCUGGCGGUAGGCCUAACACAUGCAAGUCGAACGGCAGCACAGUAAGAGCUUGCUCUUACGGGUGGCGAGUGGCGGACGGGUGAGGAAUACAUCGGAAUCUACUUUUUCGUGGGGGAUAACGUAGGGAAACUUACGCUAAUACCGCAUACGACCUACGGGUGAAAGCAGGGGAUCUUCGGACCUUGCGCGAUUGAAGGAGCCGAUGUCGGAUUAGCUAGUUGGCGGGGUAAAGGCCCACCAAGGCGACGAUCCGUAGCUGGUCUGAGAGGAUGAUCAGCCACACUGGAACUGGGACACGGUCCAGACUCCUACGGGAGGCAGCAGUGGGGAAUAUUGGACAAUGGGCGCAAGCCUGAUCCAGCCAUACCGCGUGGGCGAAGAAGGCCUUCGGGUUGUAAAGCCCUUUUGUUGGGAAAGAAAAGCAGCAGGUUAAUACCCCGCUGUUCUGACGGUACCCAAAGAAUAAGCACCGGCUAACUUCGUG
Molecule: ribosomal RNA, 492 nt
Filed under: uncultured bacterium
Lineage: Bacteria
Description: partial 16S ribosomal RNA
Rfam family: Bacterial small subunit ribosomal RNA
Source: RNAcentral